This 974-nucleotide ribosomal RNA is filed under the name uncultured Stenotrophomonas sp. Its description in RNAcentral is "bacterial SSU rRNA". It matches the Rfam family "Bacterial small subunit ribosomal RNA", at positions 79 to 1022 of the family's 1533-position model. Lineage: Bacteria; Pseudomonadati; Pseudomonadota; Gammaproteobacteria; Lysobacterales; Lysobacteraceae. The record is from RNAcentral.
UGAUCACUGGCUCCGAAAUAGAACUCGCUCCUUGGGAAGGCGAGAGGCGGACGGGUGAGGAAUACAUCGGAAUCUACUUUUUCGUGGGGGAUAACGUAGGGAAACUUACGCUAAUACCGCAUACGACCUACGGGUGAAAGCAGGGGACCUUCGGGCCUUGCGCGAUUGAAUGAGCCGAUGUCGGAUUAGCUAGUUGGCGGGGUAAAGGCCCACCAAGGCGACGAUCCGUAGCUGGUCUGAGAGGAUGAUCAGCCACACUGGAACUGAGACACGGUCCAGACUCCUACGGGAGGCAGCAGUGGGGAAUAUUGGACAAUGGGCGCAAGCCUGAUCCAGCCAUACCGCGUGGGUGAAGAAGGCCUUCGGGUUGUAAAGCCCUUUUGUUGGGAAAGAAAUCCAGCUGGCUAAUACCCGGUUGGGAUGACGGUACCCAAAGAAUAAGCACCGGCUAACUUCGUGCCAGCAGCCGCGGUAAUACGAAGGGUGCAAGCGUUACUCGGAAUUACUGGGCGUAAAGCGUGCGUAGGUGGUCGUUUAAGUCCGUUGUGAAAGCCCUGGGCUCAACCUGGGAACUGCAGUGGAUACUGGGCGACUAGAGUGUGGUAGAGGGUAGCGGAAUUCCUGGUGUAGCAGUGAAAUGCGUAGAGAUCAGGAGGAACAUCCAUGGCGAAGGCAGCUACCUGGACCAACACUGACACUGAGGCACGAAAGCGUGGGGAGCAAACAGAUUAGAUACCCUGGUAGUCCACGCCCUAAACGAUGCAAACUGGAUGUUGGGUGCAAUUUGGCACGCAGUAUCGAAGCUAACGCGUUAAGUUCGCCGCCUGGGGAGUACGUCGCUAGACUGAAACUCAAAGGAAUUGACGGGCGCCCGCACAAGCGGUGGAGUAUGUUGGUUUAAUUCGAUGCAACGCGAAGACCCUUACCUGGCCUUGAACAUGUCAAGACUUUCCAGAGAUGGAUUGCUGCCUUCA